GAUGAACGCUGGCGGCGUGCCUAAUACAUGCAAGUCGAGCGAACGGACGAGAAACUUGCUUCUCUGAUGUUAGCGGCGGACGGGUGAGUAACACGUGGAUAACCUACCUAUAAGACUGGGAUAACUUCGGGAAACCGGAGCUAAUACCGGAUAAUAUUUUGAACCGCAUGGUUCAAAAGUGAAAGACGGUCUUGCUGUCCCUUAUAGAUGGAUCCGCGCUGCAUUAGCUAGUUGGUAAGGUAACGGCUUACCAAGGCAACGAAGCAUAGCCGACCUGAGAGGGGGAUCGGCCACACGGGAACUGAGAAACGGUCAAGACUCCUACGGGAGGCAGCAGAAGGGAAUCUUCCGCAAUGGGCGAAGGCCUGACGGAGCAACGCCGCGUGGGUGAUGAAGGUCUUCGGAUCGUAAAACUCUGUUAUUAGGGAAGAACAUAUGUGUAAGUAACUGUGCACAACGUGACGGUACCUAAUCAGAAAGCCACGGCUAACUACGUG
Molecule: ribosomal RNA, 497 nt
Filed under: uncultured bacterium
Lineage: Bacteria
Description: partial 16S ribosomal RNA
Rfam family: Bacterial small subunit ribosomal RNA
Source: RNAcentral